Molecule: ribosomal RNA, 465 nt
Filed under: uncultured bacterium
Lineage: Bacteria
Description: partial 16S ribosomal RNA
Rfam family: Bacterial small subunit ribosomal RNA
Source: RNAcentral
GACGAACGCUGGCGGCGUGCUUAACACAUGCAAGUCGUACGGUAAGGCCCUUUCGGGGGUACACGAGUGGCGAACGGGUGAGUAACACGUGAGUAACCUGCCCACAACUUUGUGAUAACUCUAGGAAACUGGUGCUAAUACUGGAUAUGUGCUCCUGCUGCAUGUUGGGGGUUGGAAAGCUCCGGCGGUUGUGGAUGGACUCGCGGCCUAUCAGCUUGUUGGUGGGGUAGUGGCCUACCAAGGCGGCGACGGGUAGCCGGCCUGGGAGGGUGACCGGCCACAGUGGGACUGAGAUACGGCCCAGACUCCUACGGGAGGCAGCAGGGGGGAAUAUUGCACAAUGGGCGCAAGCCUGAUGCAGCAACGCCGCGGGCGGGAUGACGGCCUUCGGGUUGUAAACCGGUUUCAGCAGGGACGAAGCUUUUUGUGACGGUACCGGCAGAAGAAGCACCGGCUAACUACGUG